RNAcentral lists this ribosomal RNA (484 nucleotides) under uncultured bacterium. RNAcentral's name for it is "partial 16S ribosomal RNA". It matches the Rfam family "Bacterial small subunit ribosomal RNA", at positions 30 to 507 of the family's 1533-position model. The record is from RNAcentral.
AUUGAACGCUGGCGGCAGGCCUAACACAUGCAAGUCGAGCGGAUGAAGGGAGCUUGCUCCUGGAUUCAGCGGCGGACGGGUGAGUAAUGCCUAGGAAUCUGCCUGGUAGUGUGGUAUAACGUCCGUAAACGGGCGCUAAUACCGCAUACGUCCUGAGUGAUAAAGUUUGGGAUCUUCGGUCCUCACGCUAUCAGAUGAGCCUAGGUCGGAUUAGCUAGUUGGUGGGGUAAAGGCCUACCAAGGCGACGAUCCGUAACUGGUCUGAGAGGAUGAUCAGUCACACUGGAACUGAGACACGGUCCAGAGUCCUACGGGAGGCAGCAGUGGGGAAUAUUGGACAAUGGGCGAAAGCCUGAUACAGCAAUGCCGCGUGUGUGAAGAAGGUCUUCGGAUUGUAAAGCACUUUAAGUUGGGAGGAAGGGCAGUAAGUUAAUACCUUGCUGUUUUGACGUUACCAACAGAAUAAGCACCGGCUAACUUCGUG